GAGACAAAAUUGUCUUUUGUGACACAAAUUUGACUUUUGUGAGACAAAAAUCAAUUUUGUCAAUUUUGUCUCACAAAAGUCAAUUUUGUCUCUCAAAAGUCAAUUUUGUCUCACAAAAGUC
Molecule: small RNA, 121 nt
Filed under: Mytilus galloprovincialis (Mediterranean mussel)
Lineage: Eukaryota; Metazoa; Mollusca; Bivalvia; Mytilida; Mytilidae
Source: RNAcentral